RNAcentral lists this transfer RNA (60 nucleotides) under Sejus (Epicroseius) sp. SJD-2001. RNAcentral's name for it is "tRNA-Leu". Lineage: Eukaryota; Metazoa; Arthropoda; Arachnida; Mesostigmata; Sejidae. The record is from RNAcentral.
AUUAAAGUGGCAGAUUAGUGCAAAGAAUUUAAGCUUCUUAUAUGUUAAGAACCUUUAAUA